Non-coding RNA from Leptidea sinapis, 73 nucleotides. NCBI's taxonomy places the organism in Eukaryota, Metazoa, Arthropoda, Insecta, Lepidoptera, Pieridae. The record is from the annotation of a RefSeq genome assembly.
GGACGGUUGGCUCAGUUGGUAAGAGCGCUCGGACACAACCCGAGAGGCGCGGGUUCGAGUGCCACAUUGUCCA